RNAcentral lists this ribosomal RNA (567 nucleotides) under uncultured bacterium. RNAcentral describes it as "partial 16S ribosomal RNA". It matches the Rfam family "Bacterial small subunit ribosomal RNA", at positions 355 to 937 of the family's 1533-position model. The record is from RNAcentral.
UGGGGAAUAUUGCACAAUGGGCGAAAGCCUGAUGCAGCGACGCCGCGUGAGGGAUGACGGCCUUCGGGUUGUAAACCUCUUUCAGCAGGGAAGAAGCGAAAGUGACGGUACCUGCAGAAGAAGCGCCGGCUAACUACGUGCCAGCAGCCGCGGUAAUACGUAGGGCGCAAGCGUUGUCCGGAAUUAUUGGGCGUAAAGAGCUCGUAGGCGGUUAGUCGCGUCUGCUGUGAAAACUCGAGGCUCAACCUCGGGCUUGCAGUGGGUACGGGCUGACUAGAGUGCAGUAGGGGUGACUGGAAUUCCUGGUGUAGCGGUGGAAUGCGCAGAUAUCAGGAGGAACACCGAUGGCGAAGGCAGGUCACUGGGCCGCAACUGACGCUGAGGAGCGAAAGCAUGGGGAGCGAACAGGAUUAGAUACCCUGGUAGUCCAUGCCGUAAACGUUGGGCACUAGGUGUGGGUCCAUUCCACGGAUUCCGUGCCGCAGCAAAGCGCAUUAAGUGCCCCGCCUGGGGAGUACGGCCGCAAGGCUAAAACUUAAAGGAAUUGACGGGGUCAUAGCUGUUUCC